GCACAAUAAUGGCCCUGUUUUGUAGCUGGCUGUGUUUCUCCAAAAUGUAUUUAUAUUGCUGCCUUUUCAAAAGAAGUUGGCUAAUAUUAUUGGAUUUCCAUUUUCUGCCAUGACAUAUGAAAAUUUGAUGAGGUCUGUGAAAUUUAAGACUUGUUUCCUUAAGUGUGAUAGAACCUUAGUUAAUAUAGCUUUAGACUUCAGUCGCACAAAUCUGUGAUUACCUUUAAACUUUUUCCUUAUUGUUGGGGAGGGUGGAGAAAAGGGGGAGGCAGGAAGUGUGUAUAUGUAGCCAGGAGACAGGAAUGAGCAGAAAGACAGGGACAAAGUACAAACCUCACACGGCACCAGGCAGCUAUGUAUCUCCAAGCAGCCCAGGAUGAGAUUGAACAUCAAGUGACCCUGGAAGAACUACAAAAUUUAAACGCACUAUUUCAGGAGCAUGAAAAGAGAGGAACACGACUGCUGGAUAUGGAAACAUUCAAAAGCAUAAUGAAGCAGAGUAUGAGGUCCCAGAAUAAAAGUACUCGUUGACCCUCAGUACUUCUGUCAACUUGAAGCUGAAUGAAGAGAACGUGCUUGUUUGCAAUUUUCAAAUUUAUGUAAUGGUAACCCAUAGUUGGAGUAGUUUAACUAGGUAUUUCAGUAACUAAGGCAAGUUACAUGAAAGAAAUUCUUAAACCAAGAAUGGAGGGCCACAUCCACCACUUUACUGAAAAGCCAGGAAAGUACUGCAGGCAAUGAUACAUGGUGAUAAUGAAAUCAGUGAACACAUGUAAAGUGUUUAGAACUGGGGUUGUCACACAAUAAAUUCUCAGCAAGUAUUAUUAUGAUUCCUGUUAAUAUUAUCCAAUUUUGGUUAUGUAAUAACAAAGAGCUGAGAUACCUGUUUUUUUGAUUCUUGGCCAUCAUGUCUGUCAGUGUCCUUCCAUUGUUCUGGGAUGAAUUAAGUUCAAAAGUGACAAAUUGAGCAGUAAGUCAUCUGUAUUCAGGCCUUUGGCCAAUUCUACAGUGCCCUCACUGUCAUAUGAUUUGAAAAGGAAUAUUCAAGAUUCCAGGGCAGAGAAGGGAAGCUUCUAGUGAAAGAGGAUUUUGGAAGAGGUGGACAGAAAAUGAAGAUUUCCCAGGUCCAAAGAGACUCCACCCUUUCUAUUUUUGAUCACAAAGUUCCUUCCCAUUAGUAUACUGCUAAGAUUCAAAAAAAGGCAUAUGCCCUGCUGUGUGGGAACUUCAGAAUCAGAUCAAUGACAACACAAGUCUCUGGCUGGCCAUUGGCUAGUUGUUCCAUCUUAGGCAAGCCAUUUAACUUCUCUUCAAGCUUGAGUUUCCCAGUUCAUAAAAUGGGGUGAGCGAUGGACCUUAACCCCUUUAGGAAUGAUGAGAAUUGAAGUGAAGACCCACACUACAUGGAACAUGGUACACUCUAACAGUCAUUAUCAUCACCGCCAUUGUCAUCAUCAUCAUCAUCAUCAUCAUCAUCAUCAUCAUCAUCAACAACAACAACAACAACACCAUUAAAGAAAAAGGGAAAGCAGAAGAAGUAAGCUGGCAGCUGGGAAACAGACUUCAGGCCCAGCUGAGCAUGCUUACCACAGUUAUUACACGGUGGCUUCUGGACGUAUCUACAGCUAGAGUAUUUGAAGCAGGCCAAGGCUUUGGCCUGACAGAAAGAGGUGUCCUUCCUGCUGCCUGCUGUAGUGCCACAGAGGCUGUCACAUGGGGGUCUUGUGCUGCGCAUUCUCUCUGUGCCUGAUGACACCUUAAUCAUGAUCAGAGAAGAUGGAGCUAUUUAUUUCUGGUCCCUGCAGCUGAAGCUGAAAAGAAAAAAGUGGAUUUUUGUAUGUGAUUUUCAUUUGAUAAGGAUGCUGAGUGCUACAGUUUGAUUUUAUUUGCUAUUUUAAACUGCUCCUUAAGUGGCAUGAUUACAUAAAUUGUGCCCUUGAAUAUAAUAUAUUCAUGUUGCAUUUUGUUAGGCUACGGAAUGCAAAUAAAAUAGAGCACUACAUGU
Molecule: long non-coding RNA, 2005 nt
Filed under: Heterocephalus glaber (naked mole-rat)
Lineage: Eukaryota; Metazoa; Chordata; Mammalia; Rodentia; Bathyergidae
Description: lncRNA (ENSHGLG00100046646.1)
Source: RNAcentral